This 20-nucleotide ribosomal RNA is filed under the name uncultured Melampsora. RNAcentral describes it as "partial 18S ribosomal RNA". Lineage: Eukaryota; Fungi; Basidiomycota; Pucciniomycetes; Pucciniales; Melampsoraceae. The record is from RNAcentral.
AAACCUGCGGAAGGAUCAUU